Molecule: non-coding RNA, 2673 nt
Organism: Podarcis muralis (Common wall lizard)
Lineage: Eukaryota; Metazoa; Chordata; Lepidosauria; Squamata; Lacertidae
Source: RefSeq, a predicted model, not a curated record
UCUGGAUCAGUUCAUGUGGGGAGAGGCGGUCCUUGAGGUAUUGCAGUCCUGAGCCCUUUAAGGCUUUAUAGGUCAAGACCAGCACUUUGAAUCGGGCCUGGAAAGUAAUUAGCGGUAAGCACAGUUUGGGCGAGGAUAGGUGUAAUACGCUUGAACUGUUUCCCCCCGCUGAGCAACCUGGCUGCUGAUUUCUGCACCAGCCGUAGAAUUAGGGAUGAGAAAGUGUGGGGCAGCAAUAGUUGUGCGGAGAACGCCACAUGGACAAGGGGGAGUUAAAGGAGGCACAAGGCAUUCAACAACCACCAGGGUAUGGACAGGCCUAAAUCUGUAUGGUGGGUUAAUUAGGCAUACAGGCCAGGUUUAUCUAGUCUCCAAACUUCUGCCAGUUUUAUGCCAGCUCAACUGUUAUGGCUGCUUCAGAAGGAUCCCCCAGGGACUUUGGUUUGGUCAGAGCCCUGAGGGUUCUGUUAAAGAUCCUUAGCACCUCCUCGCACAACUACUGUAGCAAAGUUCCCUGGGGAGGAGUGCUACGAAAAAGCAGUGUUAAGUCUGCAGCGCGUACCUAUAUGCCCAGAAAAAAAGAGACACACAGAUGCAAGCCUGCGUAUCCCCUUGGCGUGCAUCGCUCCAUAAAUCCUGCCACCUGCAUGCACACAGGCUGCUCCUUCUCCUAGGUCUGUGAUAUCAGCCUGACCCACAGAAAUGUUGCAGGCGAAGCUUCAUUCACUGUCCGCCACUGUUUCUCUAUGCUAAAUUGCUUAUCCCCUGAUAAAUUUCAGUGGGUCAGGCAGUUGGUAAAGGCCCCAGGAUCAGUAAUAAAAGUUGGCAACCCUAAUUCUGACAGGUGGCUGGUUCGCUUUAACAAAGAUGUUUCAGCAACCCCAGUAGCUAUGCUUCCAUACACACUUUAGGGGUGAAGCCCUGCUGACUAGUUUUAAACCAUUUUGCCUGUAGCUCUUUGCCCCCAUUUUAAUCCCAGCUUUCUACUUGUUUCCUCAGUGCAGAUGAUCAACUCUAAUGGAUGUGAGGGCUCCCCCUGGUUUCCUCUAGAGGGAGCAGAACCUCCAUGUUCAGAGGCAGUAUACCUCUGGUGUAAUCCACAGGGCUCAUAUGGGCUCAUCUGAUGCAGCAUUCACGCAAGCUCUCCCCCCCCCCCCAAUCCCAUGACUCUGCAGAUUUCAUUCUUUGGCACAACUCUUCAAGGCACAGGAGCCCUGCCAUCCAUUGCACUUGGUCACCCUGUGUUCAGCAUGACCAUUGAGAAAUAUCCCUGAAGAAUGCACAUCAGGAGAGAAGUGCGGUAAAUGCGAACACAUGCCCCAAAGCACUUGCGCGCGUGCACACACACACACACACACACACACACACAGAUGCAUGAAUACAGACCCCAACUCAAGACAAUCAGGUCCAUCCCUCCUGGUUUGGCUGCCUCUCCUAUUUUUUGUUUUUAACCAGGUAAUCCACAGAGAGCAGGUUGGGGAGCAGUGAAGUGGGACUUCUGAGAGAUGCUUCUGUUUGGUGUGUGGAACGGGGAGCAGGGAAAGAACCAAGUUCCUAAUAUCUCUCAUGAUCUGGAGGUGAGGGUAGGGGAAAAUGGUUUGCAGGGCCACUGGCUUCGCUGGGUAUCUCCGAACCCUGCAGCCUCCAGACCUUGCUGCUCCUCCUUGCUUUCACCAUCUACUCACCUGCUUAGAGCGAGGAAAGAGCAGCAUCUUCUGCUUGCCUUGUGCUCUCCACUCUGGGUGGUUGCACUAGUUGGGCUCGGAGGGAGAUGGCAAAAUGACGGGCAGCAGGAGCAAGACAUGAGGUGGGCAGGCUCCAAAGUCUGGAGAUGAGUGGUUACUGCUAAAUGCAGAAAUGUGUAUGUGUGUGUCCCAGCAGGGUCCCACGCAGGCCCUGGUCUCUGUUCUGCCCCAGGCUUCUCUGUGUUCGUUGGCACCUUCUAUGGAAAGUGCAAUUUCACAGACAGCUGGCCAUCUUUUAGGAGAAGCGAGGCCUUUGGAAAAAGUAGCUCAUUCCUAAAAAUUUAAGGGAGCUGCUCUGUGGCAAGGGAUGGACCAAGGGAUGGACAGAGACCAGGGCAUCUCUCACCAGCUAUGUGCCAUCUUGACUGGAGAGGACAGGUUUGCUGAAGGUGUGAUGACGGUCAGGUACCGCAAUGGUCCCUUGUAGCUAUUUUGAGGCAGCUCUGGCACAGCCUACAAGGAUGACAGUGAAAGAUGAGGGACGAAGGGCUGAAGGACUGUUCAGGUGAUGUGGAGGGGAGGGGAGAGGGAGGAAGAAAAGCAGGUUCAGUUCAAGGAGAUCCCUUCCAGUCAAGGAUGCUUGAGUAGUUAUCAUGGCUUCCUCCCCUCGCCACAACUUUGUGCAAACCCAGUCCAAAGUCGGUGGACCACCCUGCCCCACAACUAGCCUCUGGGCAGCCCUCCCCUUCCUGCCACCCCCCUUGAUGCACCUGCAGAGCUGUGCCCCAAAGCCUAUGCACCCCUCCCCCACUUUCCCCCAUCCUCUCCAGCCCUUGCUCUAGGCUCCCUGCCCCCAAAUGCACAAUAUUGUUUCCGUGUGUCCCUGUUUCUGCCCUGCCCUGCUCCCGAUGUAUGCCCCUGGCUGGUACGAGUGUCUGUUUUCGUUCUGUUUGUAUCUGUAAUUCAUUAAAAGGCUGGUUCUACCUGA